Molecule: ribosomal RNA, 321 nt
Filed under: uncultured eukaryote
Lineage: Eukaryota
Description: partial 18S ribosomal RNA
Rfam family: Eukaryotic small subunit ribosomal RNA
Source: RNAcentral
CCCUUAGAUGUCCUGGGCCGCACGCGCGCUACACUGACAUGUUCAACAAGCCUCCUAGUUCGACAGGAUUUGGGAAAUCUUUGAACGCAUGUCGUGAUAGGGAUAGAUCAUUGCAAUUAUUGAUCUUGAACGAGGAAUUCCUAGUAAACGCGAGUCAUCAGCUCGCAUUGAUUACGUCCCUGCCCUUUGUACACACCGCCCGUCGCACCUACCGAUUGAAUGUUUCGGUGAAGAUUCCGGAUAGGACUUUGUUGAUUUAUUUCAAUUUUGUCUUAAAAGCUAUCUAAACCUCAACAUUUAGAGGAAGGUGAAGUCGUAACA